Felis catus (domestic cat) is the source of this 73-nucleotide transfer RNA. It matches the Rfam family "tRNA". From Rfam's summary of the family: Transfer RNA (tRNA) molecules are approximately 80 nucleotides in length. Their secondary structure includes four short double-helical elements and three loops (D, anti-codon, and T loops). Further hydrogen bonds mediate the characteristic L-shaped molecular structure. tRNAs have two regions of fundamental functional importance: the anti-codon, which is responsible for specific mRNA codon recognition, and the 3' end, to which the tRNAs corresponding amino acid is attached (by aminoacyl-tRNA synthetases). tRNAs cope with the degeneracy of the genetic code in two manners: having more than one tRNA (with a specific anti-codon) for a particular amino acid; and 'wobble' base-pairing, i.e. permitting non-standard base-pairing at the 3rd anti-codon position. The record is from Rfam. Lineage: Eukaryota; Metazoa; Chordata; Mammalia; Carnivora; Felidae.
GCCUGGCUGGCUCAGUCAGUAGACCAUGUGACUCUUGAUCUCAGGGUCAUGAGUUUGAGUCCCAUGCUGGGUG